This 384-nucleotide ribosomal RNA is filed under the name uncultured bacterium. RNAcentral describes it as "bacterial SSU rRNA". It matches the Rfam family "Bacterial small subunit ribosomal RNA", at positions 28 to 412 of the family's 1533-position model. The record is from RNAcentral.
GACGAACGCUGGCGGCGUGCUUAACACAUGCAAGUCGAGCGGUAAGGCCCUUUCGGGGUACGACGAGCGGCGAACGGGUGAGUAACACGUGGGUGACCUGCCCUCAGCUCUGGGAUAGGCCUGGGAAACCGGGUCUAAUACCGGAUAUGACUCCAUGACGCAUGUUGGUGGGGUGGAAAGCCUUGUGCGGCUGAGGAUGGGCCCGCGGCCUAUCAGCUUGUUGGUGGGGUGAUGGCCUACCAAGGCGACGACGGGUAGCCGGCCUGAGAGGGCGACCGGCCACACUGGGACUGAGACACGGCCCAGACUCCUACGGGAGGCAGCAGUGGGGAAUCUUGCGCAAUGGGCGAAAGCCUGACGCAGCGACGCCGCGUGAGGGAUGAC